RNAcentral lists this long non-coding RNA (1143 nucleotides) under Betta splendens (Siamese fighting fish). RNAcentral describes it as "lncRNA (ENSBSLG00000008575.1)". The record is from RNAcentral. Lineage: Eukaryota; Metazoa; Chordata; Actinopteri; Anabantiformes; Osphronemidae.
UAAAUGUAAUUCAUUUCCUUGCAACAUUUAUCUUAAUAUCGCCCCAGAUGCUCCUAAAAGUGAGAGUCUCGGCUUUUCUCAGUGAUCGCAACAGUUACCGUAACUAUAGCACGAAUCGCGCACCUUGAAUAUAGCGACGGCUCAUUUGACCACGGAAAAGUAAACGGCGGUUCAUUUGACCGUGGUGACACACCGGAGCAAACGGCAACUGUAGCUUGUUUGAUCCUUUCGGGGACAGUCCACCAGAUGACGCAUUUCAAACAGUUCUAACAAGAAUGGAAACCCUUAAACGCUGUCUGGAGUGCUCAAGAGGGAGGUUGAUGGAUGCAACAGCAGUACAAGACAUCCUAGAAAACAUUGAGAAAUAUACUCAGGAGGUCAAGGAAAUGCAACAGGGGGCUCAACAAGUGCUUAUAGACACAAGCUGUUACGGCGAUAAAGAGGCACGUGAUGGCUGGACUGUCAUGCGAGGUGGUGUCAGCAAAAGUAAAACUCACAAGUCAUAGAGUCAAUUGACUCUCUGCAUAUUCGUUGAGCUGAGGGCUGCUUGAAGUGCUGUUUCUGUUGUAAUAGAGGUGAGGUCAGGAAAAUAACUUUUCUUAAAUAUGACAUAUAUAGAUGCUUCAGUCGAACAAGUCUGUCACAAACAAGUAAUUCCUUUUCCAAUAGAUGUGUUUUGAUCAUUUAUCAUUAUCAAACAUGUGAUCACAUGACUUUUACUGGCUAAUGAAUUAUGCCUUCUACAUUAAACAAUUACUGUCUUUUUGUCCUCUACAGAUUAACGUGCACACGCAUCAUAGACCAGAAGCACAAGUGGCCAUUGGUUUUAAUGCUGUCAACUAGGGCUCAAGCAUGCAUUAAAGAGUCCAUUACCUAAGAUGAUGUGGUUGUUAUUGCUCCUGAUACAAAGUUUUCGGUGUGUACACUUAAUGUCACUUUUCACAAAGACAAAUUCUGUAACAUCUGUUGUCUCUGUUUGAUUAUAGCAGGUAAUGUUUAUAUUAGUGUUUAGAAAGAUAAAGAAGGUACAGUACUGGGUUGUAUAGCACCGACGCCUGUGUGGUCACGUGUAACACUUGACUGAAGUAUUUCAAAUAGAUUUCAGUAUUCCCCAGUAAAUAAAAAAAACUCUACAAAUGUCCA